RNAcentral lists this transfer RNA (46 nucleotides) under Peripatoides sympatrica. RNAcentral describes it as "tRNA-Val". Lineage: Eukaryota; Metazoa; Onychophora; Udeonychophora; Euonychophora; Peripatopsidae. The record is from RNAcentral.
UAUAUUUUAGUUAUAAAACAUUUUAUUUACACUAAAAAAAUAUCAU